Molecule: non-coding RNA, 291 nt
Organism: Vicia faba (fava bean)
Lineage: Eukaryota; Viridiplantae; Streptophyta; Magnoliopsida; Fabales; Fabaceae
Source: the annotation of a GenBank genome assembly
AUGAUUGUCGGAGCUUCUUUUGGCGCAGAUUCGGUUCUGUGGUUGCAGGGCGCGAUUGGAGGUUCAGUUAGUGGCGGAAGGGAGUUAGCGAUGGCGGUUGUUUGCCGGCUGACAGAGACGGUUAGGAAUUUGCAAAAGUUUGGUUUUAUGCACUGUGUGGUGUUAAUUUCUUGGAUGGUUUUGGUGAGUAUGAAGCUGGAGCGGAGGGGUACAGAGGGAUUAUUUGAUGUUGUGAAUGGAGUUUCGAAGGGUGGUUUGAGGUGGAGAGGAGGCAGUAGUGGUGAGCGUUGA